Molecule: unclassified non-coding RNA, 234 nt
Filed under: plant metagenome
Description: partial contains small subunit ribosomal RNA and internal transcribed spacer 1
Source: RNAcentral
AAGUCGUAACAAGGUCUCCGUAGGUGAACCUGCGAGGGAUGGACAUUCAAUACAAGGAAGGUUUCCAUUGCCCCUAAACCGGGGUAGAUCUCCCCACCCCUAUGUUAUCAUUACCAUGUUGCUUUGGCGGGCCGUCGGGCCACGCUCGGCUACCGGCUCCGGCUGGUAAGCGCCCGCCAGAGGACCUCAAACCCUGAAUAUUCGUGUCGUCUGAGUACCAUAUAAUAGUUAAAA